GUCUUGUAAUUGGAAUGAUGGGAAUUUAAACCUCUUCCAGAGUAUCAAUUGGAGGGCAAGUCUGGUGCCAGCAGCCGCGGUAAUUCCAGCUCCAAUAGCGUAUAUUAAAAUUGUUGCAGUUAAAAAGCUCGUAGUUGAAUUUCUGCUGUAUUGUAAUUUCUCCUAUACGAGUUUUUACAUUAUGGCUUAUUUCGGUAUUAAAUUUAUUUUAUUACCGGAUGUUUACUUUGAGAAAAUUAGAGUGCUCAAAGCAGGCUUUUGCCUUGAAUAGUUUAGCAUGGAAUAAUAAAGUAGGACUUUGGUUCUAUUUUGUUGGUUUUAGGUACCAAAGUAAUGGUUAAUAGGAACAGUUGGGGGC
This 358-nucleotide ribosomal RNA is filed under the name Theileria capreoli. Its description in RNAcentral is "SSU rRNA". It matches the Rfam family "Eukaryotic small subunit ribosomal RNA", at positions 500 to 889 of the family's 1831-position model. Lineage: Eukaryota; Apicomplexa; Aconoidasida; Piroplasmida; Theileriidae. The record is from RNAcentral.